RNAcentral lists this ribosomal RNA (433 nucleotides) under uncultured bacterium. RNAcentral describes it as "bacterial SSU rRNA". It matches the Rfam family "Bacterial small subunit ribosomal RNA", at positions 778 to 1211 of the family's 1533-position model. The record is from RNAcentral.
UUAGAUACCCUGGUAGUCCAUGCCGUAAACGAUGAGUGCUAGGUGUUGGAGGGUUUCCGCCCUUCAGUGCCGGAGCUAACGCAUUAAGCACUCCGCCUGGGGAGUACGACCGCAAGGUUGAAACUCAAAGGAAUUGACGGGGGCCCGCACAAGCGGUGGAGCAUGUGGUUUAAUUCGAAGCUACGCGAAGAACCUUACCAGGUCUUGACAUCUUGCGCUAACCUUAGAGAUAAGGCGUUCCCUUCGGGGACGCAAUGACAGGUGGUGCAUGGUCGUCGUCAGCUCGUGUCGUGAGAUGUUGGGUUAAGUCCCGCAACGAGCGCAACCCUUGUUACUAGUUGCCAGCAUUAAGUUGGGCACUCUAGUGAGACUGCCGGUGACAAACCGGAGGAAGGUGGGGACGACGUCAGAUCAUCAUGCCCCUUAUGACCUG